Molecule: long non-coding RNA, 333 nt
Organism: Amphimedon queenslandica
Lineage: Eukaryota; Metazoa; Porifera; Demospongiae; Haplosclerida; Niphatidae
Exons: 3
Source: RefSeq, a predicted model, not a curated record
UCAGUCCUUAAUAUUUUUCAUCUCCUCAGUAUAAUUCAUCAGACCACAGUUUGCUAAUGAACUGUAUAAUCAGGAAGAAACUUCAUAUAAAGUUGCUGGAGGUCAGUUAUUAUGAAUACAAAUAAAGGAUUCACAAUCUCUUGGCAUCAACCAAACACAAGAGCAAAACUCAUUUAAGAGUUAGAGAACACCCAGUGACUGGCCUUAUGUUGAAGACUUCUCAACAUAAGAAAGAGAGAGAGAAAGGAAGGAAAAAGAGGAGGAGAGAGGAGAUAGAAUAAAGAGCAAGAGGGAAAGGAAAAUUUAAACUUUUUGUACUUCUUACAGAUAUUU